RNAcentral lists this ribosomal RNA (500 nucleotides) under uncultured bacterium. RNAcentral describes it as "bacterial SSU rRNA". It matches the Rfam family "Bacterial small subunit ribosomal RNA", at positions 40 to 507 of the family's 1533-position model. The record is from RNAcentral.
CGGCGUGCUUAACACAUGCAAGUCGAACGAGAAGAGAUGAGAAGCUUGCUUCUUAUUGAUUCGAGUGGCAAACGGGUGAGUAACGCGUAAGCAACCUGCCCUUCAGAUGGGGACAACAGCUGGAAACGGCUGCUAAUACCGAAUGCGUCUUUUUGUCGCAUGGCAGAGGGAAGAAAGGGUGGCCUCUACUUGUAAGCUAUCGCCUGAAGAGGGGUUUGCGUCUGAUUAGGUAGUUGGUGAGGUAACGGCCCACCAAGCCGACGAUCAGUAGCCGGUCUGAGAGGAUGAACGGCCACACUGGAACUGAGACACGGUCCAGACUCCUACGGGGGGCAGCAGUGGGGAAUCUUCCGCAAUGGGCGAAAGCCUGACGGAGCAACGCCGCGUGAGUGAUGACGGCCUUCGGGUUGUAAAGCUCUGUGAUCGGGGACGAACGGUCAGCAGACGAAUACUCUGCUGAAGUGACGGUACCCGAAUAGCAAGCCACGGCUAACUACGUG